This 636-nucleotide ribosomal RNA is filed under the name Streptomyces sp. RNAcentral describes it as "bacterial SSU rRNA". It matches the Rfam family "Bacterial small subunit ribosomal RNA", at positions 341 to 987 of the family's 1533-position model. Lineage: Bacteria; Bacillati; Actinomycetota; Actinomycetes; Kitasatosporales; Streptomycetaceae. The record is from RNAcentral.
ACGGGAGGCAGCAGUGGGGAAUAUUGCACAAUGGGCGAAAGCCUGAUGCAGCGACGCCGCGUGAGGGAUGACGGCCUUCGGGUUGUAAACCUCUUUCAGCAGGGAAGAAGCGCGAGUGACGGUACCUGCAGAAGAAGCACCGGCUAACUACGUGCCAGCAGCCGCGGUAAUACGUAGGGUGCGAGCGUUGUCCGGAAUUAUUGGGCGUAAAGAGCUCGUAGGCGGCCUGUCGCGUCGGAUGUGAAAGCCCGGGGCUUAACCCCGGGUCUGCAUUCGAUACGGGCAGGCUAGAGUGUGGUAGGGGAGAUCGGAAUUCCUGGUGUAGCGGUGAAAUGCGCAGAUAUCAGGAGGAACACCGGUGGCGAAGGCGGAUCUCUGGGCCAUUACUGACGCUGAGGAGCGAAAGCGUGGGGAGCGAACAGGAUUAGAUACCCUGGUAGUCCACGCCGUAAACGUUGGGAACUAGGUGUUGGCGACAUUCCACGUCGUCGGUGCCGCAGCUAACGCAUUAAGUUCCCCGCCUGGGGAGUACGGCCGCAAGGCUAAAACUCAAAGGAAUUGACGGGGGCCCGCACAAGCAGCGGAGCAUGUGGCUUAAUUCGACGCAACGCGAAGAACCUUACCAAGGCUUGACAU